Mus musculus (house mouse) is the source of this 1077-nucleotide long non-coding RNA. RefSeq annotates it as RIKEN cDNA 4930539N22 gene. The transcript has 4 exons. Lineage: Eukaryota; Metazoa; Chordata; Mammalia; Rodentia; Muridae. The record is from RefSeq and is marked predicted.
GCAGCUGGUCAGAGAGCCUGAGUCUAGAGGGUCAAGGGGACAAGGUCUCUAACCUAGGGUAGCUUUGAAUUGCCUGUGCUUUGGAGAAUGUCCUUGAACUUCUAAAUCCUUCUUCCAUUAAUCAAGUGCUGGGAUCACAAGUGAAUAUGACCACGCACACUUUGUGUGCUGCUGGAGUUGGACCCAGAGCCUCCUAUAAAAUUGAGGGAGGCCAACUGGGGCUGGUCCGCGACAUAUCAGUAGUUGCCUAUACAAGAUCAAGUCAGCAUCUUUACAGUAUGGAUGGAGAAAGAUACAUGAGUUCCAAGUCCAUGCUCAGAAGCUAUUGGCAGUUGACAGUUUGUUGUUAUUGAGGAAGGGGGAAUCAAUUUUAUUAGAGGUGACCGCCAUAUGCUCUCCGAUCCACCACCGCUAAGGACUGCUCACCCAGCUCCCAAGGCUACUUCAAGAAGCUGCUCUGGUCUCCCUCAGCUCCAACAAACGGCCAGCUCUGAUGCUGUGAAGGCAGGGAAUUGUGCUCCCUUUCCACCAGCCAACAACUCCCUGGCUAGCUCAGCCAGUGUGUGCCCCAGCUGUGCCUUGUCUCCUGAGUCACCUGGGAUGGAAAACAUGAGAGAGAGAUCUAACACUUUAAAACCAGCCAGAUAACACAACUGCUGGGCACAAAAUCUAUUGCCCUAAACUGAUCAGCUAUCCUAUAUCAGAAUUAUACUGGUGGCAGAGGCCACAACCAGUUCUAGUUGCCCCCAGGCCUUACAUGGUAUCCUGCUCCACUCCUCCAAGUCUUGCCAAAAAACCCUUGCUCUAUCUCUUUUUCUCCUCUUCCUCCUGGGAUCUGAAAAUCCCCCCCCCUUUUUUUUUCUCCCAGCGAUUAGCUUCUUCCGUCUUUAUUGACAUAAUCAAGAAACAGUUAGGGAACCAGAUUUUAGUACCAGCUCCUCCACCUACACUACACAUCAGGUUCUGCAGUCCUCUUAAAGCAACCUAUAGUUGCCUAGGGUGUAGGUUAUACAUAUCUAAGUAUGUAUAUAAGAAAAAUCAUAGGUGUGAAUUAAAAAUAAACUCUUCUUUUCUAGU